This 63-nucleotide non-coding RNA is filed under the name Chloropicon mariensis. The record is from RNAcentral. Lineage: Eukaryota; Viridiplantae; Chlorophyta; Chloropicophyceae; Chloropicales; Chloropicaceae.
AAGAAGAAAGAAAAAACAAAAAACAACCCGAAAAACAGUUGAUAUUGGUUUUCCUCUUUCUCU